This is a non-coding RNA of Camelina sativa (false flax), 573 nucleotides long. NCBI's taxonomy places the organism in Eukaryota, Viridiplantae, Streptophyta, Magnoliopsida, Brassicales, Brassicaceae. The record is from RefSeq and is a predicted model, not a curated record.
UUGUUUUUGUAUAAUAUCUGGUAGGUUAUGCACUUCCGAAGUUUGCACAGCUGACAGUCACCUCGUAUUAUGCAUCUUCAAGUGCUUCACAUUAUGGAAUUUCUAUGCUCACCCGCCGUAUCGAAGAAGCUCAUCUCUCUCGAACUCAAAAAGAAGAGGCUGAGUUUGCACCGUUUGGUCCUUCCCCCGUAAAAUAGACAGCGACUGUCCUGUUCCGCGACUAAAAAGACUUAAGGCCUUGGGCAUAUAGACUUCAUUCAAAGGCUGUUCUAUGGAGGCAAUAAGAAGAAACAUGGUCAUGUGCCGCUGAUACUAACAACUUUUUUUUUAAGUCCAUUUUGUAUUGAUGAUCAGAGAGUAUAUGGGUAGAGAAAUGAACAAGUAAAUAUGGUAUACAGCUUGUUUGUUGAUGAUUCUCUUUGAAUUGCCCAAAAAAAGGUUUGAAAAGAAACUAAAGAAGAAAGCUUUUGAGGAAAAGCUUUAGCUUUAGGUUCUCUGUGUUGAGAAAGAUGUGAAAGCUCUCUUUGGCUAACUCUACAUUUGUAAUCAUGGACCACUUUCACUUCUCAACUC